RNAcentral lists this long non-coding RNA (236 nucleotides) under Lathyrus oleraceus (garden pea). RNAcentral's name for it is "Pisum sativum (pea) long non-coding RNA (PSAT_LNC003636)". The record is from RNAcentral. Lineage: Eukaryota; Viridiplantae; Streptophyta; Magnoliopsida; Fabales; Fabaceae.
AUUAAACCAUCAAGCCUGAAUUUUGCAUUUUUAUAUAACUUGUAUUGUAAGUUAUUCAACCUAACUUGCAUUUUCGAUUUUUCGAUACAUUUUCAAUUUCUAAGUGAUUCACUAAGUCACUUUUCACUUCAUGGGUAAAUUCCCUAAGAAUUCAUUGAAAUUCAUUUCCAUAAAUACACUUUGAACCAUAAUUCCAUUUUUAUUCAUGAUUUUUCAAUCUAUAUACAUAAGGUUCA